GAUCCUGGCUCAGGAUGAACGCUAGCUACAGGCUUAACACAUGCAAGUCGAGGGGCAGCAUGGUCUUAGCUUGCUAAGGCCGAUGGCGACCGGCGCACGGGUGAGUAACACGUAUCCAACCUGCCGUCUACUCUUGGACAGCCUUCUGAAAGGAAGAUUAAUACAAGAUGGCAUCAUGAGUUCGCAUGUUCACAUGAUUAAAGAAUUUCGGUCAUCGAUGGGGA
This 224-nucleotide ribosomal RNA is filed under the name uncultured bacterium. RNAcentral describes it as "partial 16S ribosomal RNA". It matches the Rfam family "Bacterial small subunit ribosomal RNA", at positions 15 to 231 of the family's 1533-position model. The record is from RNAcentral.